UUCCGUAGGGUGAACCUGCGGAGGGAUCAUUACAGAGUUACUACUCCAAACCCAUUGUGAACCUUACCUAUGUUCUGUUGCCUCGGCGGCGUGGUCAGCGCCCCCUCUGAAAAGAGGACGAUGCCCUCCCGCCGGCAGCACCAAACUCUUUGAAUUUUACAGCGGAUUACAGUUCUGAUUUGAAAACAAAAAACAAGUUAAAACUUUCAACAACGGAUCUCUUGGUUCUGGCAUCGAUGAAGAACGCAGCGAAAUGCGAUAAGUAAUGUGAAUUGCAGAAUUCAGUGAAUCAUCGAAUCUUUGAACGCACAUUGCGCCCGGCAGUAAUCUGCCGGGCAUGCCUGUCCGAGCGUCAUUUCAACCCUCGAACCUCCGUUUCCUCAGGGAAGCUCAGGGUCGGUGUUGGGGCGCUACGGCGAGUCUUCGCGACCCUCCGUAGGCCCUGAAAUACAGUGGCGGUCCCGCCGCGGUUGCCUUCUGCGUAGUAAGUCUCUUUUGCAAGCUCGCAUUGGGUCCCGGCGGAGGCCUGCCGUCAAACCACCUAUAACUCCAGAUGGUUUGACCUCGGAUCAGGUAGGUA
RNAcentral lists this ribosomal RNA (580 nucleotides) under fungal sp. SNB-CN85. RNAcentral describes it as "eukaryotic LSU rRNA". The stretch from base 202 to 355 matches the Rfam family "5.8S ribosomal RNA". The record is from RNAcentral. Lineage: Eukaryota; Fungi.